UUUUUUUUUUUUUUGGUGGAAUUGGAUCUGGGAUCUAUGUUACCAUUUUCCAUAUUCAUUGGAAUAUCUGUUGGGAUCCAACAAUAUAGUUGGAAUUGGAUAUGGGCAUCCUUAUUUCAUUUGGCCAACAGCCUAAUAUUGCUUCAGUUGAACAGUUUAUUUGGAGUUUAUGAUAGGCUCUGCUGGUGAUACUUGGCAGGUGUUAUGGACUUUUCUGAUGUCUGCCCUUGUUGGUUAUUCGCUUUACCAAAGAAAACGCCAAUAAACAAUCUUUUGAGUAUUCUGCAAGGUCUUCAACAAUGUAAGCAAGGAAAGGUCGCAUUGCGCUGUAACAAGAUGGGCUUUAAACCUGGCUCCAACAGGUUCACCGGGGUAAUCAUCGGCAAUGUUGAGUCUAACAGGAACCUCUAACCAGAAUUGUCUGUUUUAUCACAGCUAUCAAUUUCAUAUGGAGAUAAAAUUUAUACCACAAAAAAUCUACUCUUUUUUCCCCCAAUAGAAAACAGCAUAUUAAUUAGUUUCUCCCUUUUGUAAAUAUUUUUAUUGGGAGCAGUUCAGAAUUGCUAACAGGUUAGAGCUACCCUUGUUUUGUGGCUUAUUUAUUAUUUUGAUCUGGGAAAAGCACAAAAAGAACUCUUUCAAUCACCUUAAGUUCUUUCCUUCUAAUUCAUCUUAACAUUUUAUAUUUAUUUUUUUUAAUAUUCUUUCUUAUGAUCAUAUGCUUAAAUGAAGGGUUCAGCAUACCAGUUAAAAUGGAAAUACCCAGAUUUUAGGUGAUUGGAGUGUUGAGGGAAUUGGGUUUUGGUUUAAGCAUACUGGUUGAAACUUCUCGUUUAACACUCUGUUAGUAAAACCCCAGACUUAGGGUGUUAGUUUCAAAGAGCAUGAAUGAUGAAUCCAUAUAACUGACCUUUGAUAGCAGUAGCAUAAAUCUUGAUUUUCAGAAGCAAAAUUUCCACGAUGAGAUUUUAGGACGAGAAUUACCUUACGCGAUUAUCAGAAUUAAAAAUAAGAAGAGUCCCCCAAAGGCCUUCAUCCGUUAACCAUGCGUAUGUACAGAAACGCAUGAAUCCACAUACAAACAAACACUAUUGCCCGCUCUUGUGGCUAUAAAUAAGAAUGCGCUUGAUAGCCCACAGCUCAUCCUGCAACCAUUUAUCAUCCACAAGACUUACAUUCAAAACAUAACCUCCAAGUUGUCAUUUACAAUGUUAAAAUAUCUUGCUUUUAUGCCAUAACAAGAUUGUGAACCAAGUAAAUUCUACCCAAGGAAAGGAAGAAGUCCUUUCUUCAUGAAAUACACAACAAUUGCAAGUAAAAUUACGAAUAAAAUGAUCCACAAGCUUAAUCCUCCUGCAAAGGAAAAGAAUUGUGAGACAGAAUUCAAGGCAAUUAAAGCAAUGUCCUACAUGGUUUGGUUUCCCAAUCUAUAUUACGUUCUUAACAUGUUUAUCUACAACGAACUGCCUAUCUCUAUCAAAGCUUCAAAAUUACCCUCCCUAACAUCUUGGAACCUAAAUUUGAAAAGGAUACUUUCUUCUCAGAAAUUGUCCUUUUAACACAAUUGACUCCAGCCCCAAGUUAAUGCUAUGAGAAUCACACUUCAUUUUAUUUGUUUACAAAUGAAAUAUACAGGUUAGGAUAAUUCUGACAGUAAUAAGUUACUGAAAACUCAGUUUAGUGGUGUUGCCCUACUGGCGAGUGUUACCCUCCUGACUACGAUUAACAGUCCAUCUCAACUAAGUAUUUGGUUGUCACCAAUAGUUGAACAGAAUCACAUUGUCUUAUGCGAUGGGCCUCAAUCAGAGCCCAAUAUGAGGUCAACAGGUUACCAGGUCUAUCCAACCAUUGCAUGUCAAUGCUAAAGACAUGAUAUGCGCAUUUAACAAAAUCCAAAGUCUGGAAGUACAUACCACUUUUGAUCUCCUCAACCGGUGUCACCCUUGCACUUGAGUCCAUGGACGCAGACACCAAAGCCCUUGAAUCAUGCGAGAAUGCUAGUGCUGUUACCAUGCCAAGGUGUGCUUUCCUAACCACUGUUUGAACUCGCAUAUUGAUUGGAUUUAUUAUCAGCACGUCUCCUUCAACUGUACCCCUGUGUGUCAAUCAAUCAUAAAGGAAUAAAUUUCAAUUAUGAAGGCGCUUGCUAACUGAGCUCAAGCAAGUGAAAGUAACAAAGUAUAUGUGCUUAUGGGGCCAACAGUAGAGAUGAAGUACAUUGCAAGGAACUUCGCAUCAGGUGACACACUGAAAGAAGAAACUGAAUCGCGACUUAUAUGCUUUGAGCCAAUCCUCUUCCAUGAGCUUGAGUCCCAUGUCUGAAUACUUCCACCUUUGCCUACUAAAACAAUGUUUAUGAUGAAUUGAUGAUUAGCUCAUAGAACAGAAAUUUUAAAAAGCUUAGGAUCCUAGGCCAUUUGGUAUGCAUCUAGUUUUUGGUUUUUGAUUGCUGUCCAAUAUUAAGAAACUUGCAUCUGCGAAAAAAAGAGUUCAUGAAACAAGAAAAAACAGAAACUUAUAGCUACUUGUUCUUCUUUUUAAGACGUCAAGUAACAAAAACAAACAUGUUCUAAUAAUAUAAUUUCUUUUCAACUAUUGGAUAACAACUAAAAACCAAAAACAACAUGGAGACCAAAUGGGCCAUAACUUGUUUGACAUUCUGAGAAAGGGAUAUGCUCUCAUUCUGAGAAAGAGAUAAUGCUCUCAGUUCGAAUAUUAACCUGUUAUUGCAGCAAUGUAAAGAACCUGAGUCUUAUCACUGCUUUGAGAAAAUCGGCACAUGGCAAAAACCUCAUCAUUGUCCUUUGAUAAAGAAGCUACUACUGUUGAAGAAGUCAUAUUCCAAACCCUUCCAGGACCACGACUUCCCAAGGAAACAAGAAACUUGCCAUCAGGGCUGAAACAUAAAUGCUUUAAAGAAGCAUGAGCUUCAGCCUCAUUGAGAAUGAUUUCCAUGCUGGGCCACUUGAAAACCCUUAAAUAGCCAUCCUCGCCACCAACAGCAAAUACAGAACCGUCAUUGUUAAAGGCCAAUGCUAACUGCUGUCCAAUGUCUUCGAGUUGAGUGAGUACUUUUUCUGACUCUUUUAGACUCAAUCUGUGGGCAUCAUUGUCCUUCACUUCAUCCCAGUCGAAAAAUCGACAGCUUUUUGGCAAUGCACAAAUCAGUCCUUCUCCACCUGGGUGAACAGCCAUUCUAUAAGGCAAAUCAGAACCAAGUCCAAGCUUAACUGCCUGAAAGAUAAGAUAACAAAUGCAUACACAAUAAUGUCAUCUCAAAUUAGACAAUGAAACAGCUGAAUAUAAUGUUAUGAGAUAUCUCACUGCCAAGCAUAAAUGAAAGGGAACAGUACAAAAAUUUAACAGUGGCUUGGGACCUUUUUAAGUAGGGUCAUGUGGUUUUAACUUUUCACGAAUACUUACCAUGUUUUUGUUAGCAAAACACAUCCAAUUGGCCUAGUGCCGUCUAGAAAUGUUAACACAGUGGCACUAUUUUAUACUGUGCCAAGUGUCACUGCCACAUCUGCAUUUCCAGAAGGCGUUGGGCUAUUUGGACAUGAUUUACUAAUGGAUAUUAGCACAUGGUAGCUGUUUGUGAAAAGUCGAAUCACAAAACCUUACUUGAAAUUGGCCCAAAUAACAGGAUGUAAUUUUGUACUUUCAUCUAAUUGAAAAUGCCUGCAAACUAAUUCUAACAGGACAUGGCAUACCACGAAAUAUGAAAAUAAAAACAUAUUAGGAACCCAAAACCUGAGGAAAGUCACAUUCAUUGCCAGACAUUCUCCAACAGAAAAUUUAACACUAUGAAUGAAAUAAAAAAAAAAAAAAAAUCCCCAGAGAAUAGAUCAUUAAAUGAAAUUUAUAACGUUCUUUGCUUGAUCAACUCCAAUUGAGUGAACAGAUAAAAUUUGCAUCGAAGUUACAAACCGUUGAAUUUGCAAAUAAUUGCUACUACCGUCAUCUAAAUUUCUAGGUAAGCCUAGAAAUCUUUGGCUAAAUUGGCUCCAUGCUAUAAUAAUCAAUACAAAGCUGGAUUAUAGAUCAACUGCUAAGCUAAAAAAUAGAAAGAAAUAAUGAUAUGAGCAAGAAAACAGAUAUUGCGAAUGUCAUGCAAAUCAGCCAAAUAUAAGACGCAAAUUGAAAUUAUAAUAUCACACUUCCCAUGUAAUUAGACGAGUGCAAGCAGAAGCAAAGGGCAUAUAGAUCCUAACUAGCUCAAUUAUAUGGAAAAUCCAUAUAAAUCCUCAGUUUCCAUAAAUAACCCAAUUGAGAGAGUGAGCUCUGUUUUAGCUUUAAAACAGAAAAGCAUCAAAAAAAUCUGAAUAUGCAGAGUUAUAUUUUAGCAUAAACUGCAUUUCACUUAUGGAGAUAAGAUUCAAAUACGAGCACCGAUUGGACUCUUAUAGUAUGUGAAAAAUCAACAUACAGGCUGGGCAGAGAGAGAAUUGGAGGCGAAAUCGAAAUGAGAGAGAACGAUAGCGUUAGGGAUGCCGCUGCGGCCUUCUCCGCCACCUCCGGCAAAAACGAGGUAAUAUUGAUCGGCGAUCUCCUGCUGAGCUCCAGGAGGUGAGGUUUCCUUGCCUGAAUCUUCAUCUUUAUCGCCGGAUUUAUGAGGAUCCAGAGGUUGAAGCUUGGAUCUGACUUCUUUGAAGGGUACCCAAGCAGCAGAGUAGAAAGGGACGCCGUAUUUUUGCAAGCUAGGAGGGUCCGGCUUAUUGCCCUUUCCCAUUGCCUUGCCGAAGAGACUGGAAUUUGGAUUCUCACGAAGGUCGACUGCAAAUCACUUCACCGUUCUUACGCGUCCAUAUUUAGCCCUCCAGAAUACAAC
Molecule: unclassified non-coding RNA, 4828 nt
Filed under: Hevea brasiliensis (rubber tree)
Lineage: Eukaryota; Viridiplantae; Streptophyta; Magnoliopsida; Malpighiales; Euphorbiaceae
Source: RNAcentral